AUGAAGGCUGGUACCCCAAGAACGUCCGACAGAAUAAAGAAAAGUACCGUUUCAGCUUCGACCGCUUCAAAUGAUUCAAAUGGAGUUCCUAGUCCAGUGGCCACUCCCGACAAAACCGUAAAUGGACAAAUUGAUGAACAUAACUCAGCAAAGCAUAAGCAUGAUGAUGCUUCCGAGAGUGGUACCAGGUCAUUGAAGAAGCAGAAAAGGCUAACUGCAAAGAGCUAUACAAGUCUCUUCAAGACAUCUUCUGAAGAAUAUGAAAAAUCCCCUGGCUAUGAAGGAAAUGCUUCCAAGGUGGACGCGGAAGACAAUGGCUCUGUUUUGAGGUAUGAAGAAAGUGGCGCACAUGAAGAAGAUGACAAGGCACAUUUAAGUCAAGUCGUCAAUAAUUGUUUGGAAGGCUAUACUUCUGGCCAGUGUGAACCUCCCGAGGUGAUAUUGGAGACAGAUGGGUUGAAAACUGAUGUUGAAAAAUCUGCUCAGUGUGAAGCUCCUGAGGUGAUAUUGGAGACAGAUGGGUCGAAAACUGAUGUUGAAAAAUCCGCUCCCAUUUCAGAGGCACAUAUGACUGCUGAUCUGUGCUCACAAAAUAUUCUGACUGAAAGCAGUCCUGCAAUGGAUGCUAGAGAGCCAACUCAUGACUGUUCAGAGUUCGCACUUCACACUGCAAUGGGCCGGAAAGCGGACUCAUCAAAAUUUGUGGAGUAUUGGGUUCCUGCUUGCCUUUCACGAGUGCAACUAGAAAUGUACUGUUAUACCUUACUUUCAAACUCACCAGCGCUUCGAUCACAUUCAAAAACUGACAGUGUUGGUGCUCUUCGCAACAUUCUUGUAUCCCUCCGGAAGUGCUGCGACCACCCUUAUCUAGUAGAUGCAAUGCUCCAAACCUCACUUACCAAGGGCUACCCGAUAACUGAUAUCCUAGAUAUUGGAGUGCGUGCGAGUGGCAAGCUACUGCUUCUUGACAAAAUGCUCCGAGAAAUCAAGGGAAAAGGGCAGAGAGUUCUUAUCCUUACCCAGUCCUGUGGUGGAGCUGGCAAUCCAAUGGGUGAUAUUUUGGAUGAUUUUGUCCGUCAAAGAUAUGGUUUUGAGUCAUAUGAACGCCUGGAGCGUGGUCUCGCUGUAUCAAAGAAACAGGGUGCAAUGAGUAUGUUCAAUGACACGACUAAGGGCCGGUUUAUUUUCUUGAUUGAUAGUCGUGCAUGUCUCCCAAGCAUUAAACUAUCUUCAGUUGAUGUCAUCAUCAUAUAUUGUAGUGAUUGGAAUCCCACAAAUGACUUGAGAGUCCUCCAGAGGAUCAGCAUAGAGUCACAAUCUGAAUGUGUGCCCAUUUUUCGUCUGUAUUCAUCUUGCACAUUGGAGGAAAAGGCUCUUAUACUUGCAAAGCAUGAUCAUAUUCUUGAUAGCAAUGGCCAGAAUAUAACGCCUAUCCUGAGCCAUUCUCUGCUUAGUUGGGGUGCAUCAUUUCAAUUCAGCAGACUCGAAGAGCUAAAAAAUGAUGCAUAUUUAACCAAUGAUUUUGGUGCUGAAAAACUGUUCAUGGAUAAAGUACUUCAGGAGUACUUAAUGAAGUUGUCCAUGAAAAAUGAUCCCAGCACUGAGAUGAGCAAUGCAGCCAUUUCACAAGCUCGUCUGAAUGGACCUUUUUAUUCUAGAGAUACUGUUGUGGUAGGUGAGAGGGGCGGGAUAUCUGCACCUGAUAGUGAUCUGCCAAAAUUCUGGGUAAAUUUGCUAGAUCGGAAGUCUCCUCGUUGGCAGUAUAUAACUGAGCCGACACAAAGAAGCCGUAGAAAGAUACAAAACAUGGAAGAAGCGAAAAUUCCUGCCGAUGAGGCCAGUACCAAACGUAGAAAAAUUGCUGGACCCUUGGAUUCAUCUGCAAAUGUUUUAGCUGGCGAAGAUAAGGACUCAAUAUUGCCUGAAAUUAAUACUACAUCUAGUCGUCAUCAAAUAUCAGUUGACCACACGUGGCAGGAACAAGGGGUGGAACAUCUUCAGGACACACAAAAAGGUCUUCACAUCAAAUUGAAGCCAGAGCUAUCAAAGCUAUAUGAAUUGUUUGAACUACCGGGAAGUGUUCAAUGUUUAUGUGAUGAACUUCUUCAUUAUACUUUGAAGAAUCACCAAGUCAGUGUGGAGCCAAAGCACAUAUUGCAUGCAUUCAAUAUUGCACUGUGCUGGCGUGCUGCUUCUCUCUCAAGGCAUCAGGUUAAUCAUAGAGAAUCACUGGCCCUUGCUGAAAAACACUUGAAAUAUGAGUGCAGUGAAACUCUCGCUGAGUUGGUUUAUAACAAGCUAAGGAUCCUAAAGAAGGAGUUCUCACAUAGAGUACGCGGAACAGGCGAGAAUAAUCAAUCAAUUUCAGUAAAGAACAUAUCACCAUAUCAGCAGGAGACCUCAACUAAAUAUGGAAAUGACAAAUCAAUCCCUGAGCAGGCAGCAUCUGUUGGUGGGAACGAAUCACACCAAGAGGAUUCACAUGAUUUAGUGAUUGAGGCUAUCGUACCAGGAGAGAAGGAAGUCAAGGAACUGCUAUCUGUUCCAGAGAUUCAUGCAAAGCAGCAUUUAUCAAAGGAUGUACUUCUUAGUAGAAUCAGAGAGAAAAGAAUUAAUUUGGUUGACAUGGUUUUCUCCUUGAGAGAAAAGAAUAUCCAUGAUAAACAAGCAAACGAGGUGGCAAUGUUUGACAUGCACAGGCACAAGGGAGUGGUGAAACUGAGAGAAUCAUGCAGAAUAGUUGUGGAACACCUUCGUAGGUCUCAAGCUGAUCCAGAGGGCAGAGGCGGUCAAACGAAGCUAAUAGUUGUAUGGUUUACUAUGCUACUAUGUGCGUUUCUGAAGCACAUGAGGUACCAACGUGAGAAGCUUGACUGGCAGCAAUCAAAGGUGUGGACUAAGGAGUUGCAGUUGAAGGAAGAUUUCCUUGACAAAGCAAAAUCUGGCCAAUUGGAUCAUACUUUUGAUCAACGUAUUUGUUUACCAGAUUCAGGCUUUGCCAUUGAAGAAUUCAGCCACUUUAGCUCCUGUGUUGAUACAGCUACCUUGGCAAACUGUCCGCAGUCUUUGCACGGAACCUCGGCGAUGGAAGUUACAUUGGUUCGUGGUGUGAUUCCAUCUGAUGUUAUCAAUGCAGAAGCAGCGGGAAAUGGUUCUGCUGAAGUUUUUAUCCACAGUGAAGGAAGGCUGGCAUCAGAGAACAUGGUCAGCAAUAGUUUUGCUUGCAUCGACUCGCAAGGAGGGGCAUCUCUGUCAGUUCAACACCAAUUAAACUCUAGUCCUGCAAUUGAUAAUUCUAUUAAUCAGGAAUCUUCAAGUGGUGACCAUAGAAGGAUCGAACAUGUUGAGCAACAGAGUGGUGUGGGUUCGCAACCAUUACCGGGAGAGACUGACCGAUGUUUAGGAGAUGCUGAAAUGGAAGUUAACACCGGCAAUGGAGACAAUACUCAGGCAGAUCCACCGGAAUCACAGACUCUGGCUCCUGUGCCUAGCCAGGCUUCCUUGCAAAUGUCUAAGGAAGUUGAAGCCGAGGCCAAUCUUGUAAUGCCGUCUGCCGAACCAAUUGUAGCACCAGCACCACUUCUACGAAGAGAGGCAGAACAAGUAGACCGUUCUGGUAUAACACCAGCUCAGACGUUGCAACCUGAAAUGCAACCAUCAGCAUCCAGGGAAGUUUCUACUCCGACGGAUCUGAUAAUUCAGUCUGCACAACCAAGUAUGGUGCCAACUGAGCUUUCACAAAGAGAUGUAGAACAAUCAAGCCUACUUUCCCGUGCGCCAUCAUCUCAGUGUUUGCCAUCGGUUCCACUGUCCAGUAUUCCACUUGAAAGAACAAGCCCUGAUCAGUGUCAACAAAGUCAUCAACCUGAGGCUGCACCGGGUUCUUUAGCACAACUCUUUCUGGGGGCACCAAUGAUGUUUAAUCAUCCACCAGUUGGUGAUGAACCACUGAAAAAUGAGUUGCACAGAUUACGGUUAUACAUUGACUCACGUAAUAAAGCCCACAAACUAAAGCAAUCACAACUUAUGACCGAGUGUAGCCAGGAAAUAGAGAAGGUCAAACAAAAGUAUAAUUCGUUACUUGAAGAAAAUGAUUCCACUCAUCUUCAGCAAAGGAAGAUGCUUGAUAGUUUAUGUGAGAAAGUUAUCCUCAACCAGUCACUAGCUGACGAUUUUCGGGCUAAAUUCAUAUCUUCUUCUGGAGCGCAAGCUAGAGCCCACAGCCCUCCAAAUCACCAGAGACCCCAGGCUUCUCAGCAAGUUCCCAUGAGGCCUUCAGCGGCGGCAUCGACUGCAUCACCAACUGCAUCGUCGACAGCUGGUCGACCACCAGUGCAGAUGCAUCAUGUCCAACCAUUACAGGUCCAUCAACCAUCACCAUCAUCAUCAUCAUCGCCAUCUUCACCUCACCCCUCCAGAUCAACAUCAACUACUUUUGGUCUCGUGCCAGUUCUGCCACGGGGAAACUUUGGAGUCCAGAGUGAAGUAACACGUGUACCUGCUCCUCAUCUUCAGCACAGGUUGCCUCCACAGGUGCAUUUGAUGGCACAUGCAAAUCAGCAGCAGCUUCCAACUGGGCUCGAGAGCACGUCUGCAAGGACACGGUCUACCCCUGUGACUCCAGUAAAUAUAAGACAAUCAUGCCCACAGGCAGUUCCCCCAGGGAACCAAUCACUGUCAAGCUUGCACCCAAGUUCACACCCCACUGUACCUGCACCAUUGGGGCCAUCAAGCUCACAUCAAAUUCAGCAGGUUCCACCACUGCCAUCAAGUUCACAGCCAACACGCCUGCUGUCGCCUGUAUCUUCGGUUCCAAGUCCAGUUCUGCCACUAACAUCACCGCGAGGAAAGCUUGGGCUGCGCAAUGAUCCCCCUGGCGUGGCCGCUCGUGUAGAUGUGGUAUGCCUAUCUGACGAUGAAUAG
This 4923-nucleotide ribosomal RNA is filed under the name Triticum aestivum (bread wheat). RNAcentral's name for it is "partial small subunit ribosomal RNA". The record is from RNAcentral. Lineage: Eukaryota; Viridiplantae; Streptophyta; Magnoliopsida; Poales; Poaceae.